This 460-nucleotide ribosomal RNA is filed under the name uncultured bacterium. RNAcentral's name for it is "partial 16S ribosomal RNA". It matches the Rfam family "Bacterial small subunit ribosomal RNA", at positions 338 to 795 of the family's 1533-position model. The record is from RNAcentral.
CCUACGGGUGGCAGCAGUGAGGAAUAUUGGUCAAUGGACGCAAGUCUGAACCAGCCAUGCCGCGUGCAGGAAGACGGCUCUAUGAGUGGUAAACUGCUUUUGUACGAGGGUAAACGCAGAUACGCGUCUCUGUCUGAAAGUAUCGUACGAAUAAGGAUCGGCUAACUCCGUGCCAGCAGCCGCGGUAAUACGGAGGAUUCAAGCGUUAGCCGGAUUUAUUGGGUUUAAAGGGUGCGUAGGCGGUCGGAUAAGUUAGAGGUGAAAGCCCGAGGCUCAACUUCGGAAUUGCCUCUGAUACUGUUCGGCUAGAGAGUAGUGGCGGUAGGCGGAAUGUAUGGUGUAGCGGUGAAAUGCUUAGAGAUCAUACAGAACACCGAUUGCGAAGGCAGCUUACCAAGCUACUUCUGACGUUGAGGCACGAAAGCGUGGGGAGCAAACAGGAUUAGAUACCCGGGUAGUC